UGGGGAAUAUUGCACAAUGGAGGGAACUCUGAUGCAGCGACGCCGCGUGAACGAAGAAGGCUUUCGAGUUGUAAAGUUCUUUUAUAUGGGAAGAUAAUGACGGUACCAUAAGAAAAAGCCCCGGCUAACUACGUGCCAGCAGCCGCGGUAAUACGUAGGGGGCUAGCGUUGUCCGGAAUCACUGGGCGUAAAGGGUUCGCAGGCGGAAAUGCAAGUCAGGUGUAAAAGGCAGUAGCUUAACUACUGUAAGCAUUUGAAACUGCAUAUCUUGAGAAGAGUAGAGGUAAGUGGAAUUUUUAGUGUAGCGGUGAAAUGCGUAGAUAUUAAAAAGAAUACCGGUGGCGAAGGCGACUUACUGGGCUCAUUCUGACGCUGAGGAACGAAAGCGUGGGUAGCAAACAGG
Molecule: ribosomal RNA, 403 nt
Filed under: Verrucomicrobiota bacterium
Lineage: Bacteria; Pseudomonadati; Verrucomicrobiota
Also listed under: 1 other name
Description: Verrucomicrobia bacterium partial 16S ribosomal RNA
Rfam family: Bacterial small subunit ribosomal RNA
Source: RNAcentral